CGUGGCCGCGCCCCACUGCUCGUGGCAGCGGCCCAAGGGUAUAAACGUGUUUUACAAUCAGGGUUGCCAGGGCACCAAACACCCCCGCGGAGAUGAUAAGGGAGCUGGACAGGCUGCAGAGCUCCUGCUGGCAGAAGCGGGCAGGAAGGCACGGCCUGGACCAACUGCUGAUUUCUGAGAAAACAACCCAGAGGCAAUCACACGCCCAACCUUCUAGCAUUACUUAGCGUGAGGUGAUGCCACACAGUGCAAUAUGUCUUCUAGAACACAACUCUGGCCAGGACCCUCAAGCUUGCAAUUGAAGAACUAAUUUCCUCUGACUGAUAAAGCAAACAUUUGGUGCGAUGGCAUCUAGUUUCCUGAAAGUCUGAGAGAUGGGUUGCGAUGCUGGAAUCGAAGUGGUGACAUACUUAUCUGGAGCGGCAAUAGGUUCCCUCAUCCAUGGAGCUGGCUCAGAAGGAUGUAAAGACGCAACGAGUGUGUUCAGGGACUUUCCCCCACUAAAGAUACCACCAAAAUAAUUAUGAGCAGGACAUUUGAGCGGAGAUCACGUUUGGAAUAGUUUUGUAAACGAUUUUAAGGAAGGCCUUUGCUCUCUCUCUUUCAUCUUCCCAGAAUGCUUUUCCUCUCAGUUUGCCUAUCAAAAUCUUACCCAUUCUUUAAAGCUGAGCUCAGAUCUCAUCUUCUGCAUGAGGUCUUUGGAAGAAUAUUUUUUCCAUUGCUCUUUGUACUUCUGCAAUAGCACUCUUAUUAUAGUGAGUUGUCAGCUGUUUCUUUCGCUUGAUAGCAAACUUCUUAAAGGCAAGAAUUAUUUAUGUCUAUAGAUGCUAAGUGAUUAGUUCAGUUAUGUAUAAGUAGAUGUUCAAUAAAUAUCUAUUGAAUGAGCAUAUAUAGCUGCUUCCCCACAGGAGUGUAAGAGUAACUGCGUUGUCUGACUGCAGCAGUUGAAGACUUCCCCAGGGGCAAUGUCUACAGCACAAGAGUGUCUAGAAAAUAGGAAGGACAUGGUCCACACCUCCUGAUGCUUGCUGCUGUCAUUUACACCUGCUUCUCCAUACUGCUGAGUAAUGAGAAAAUCUUUUCUACUUUGUUAUUGCUCUUGCCUUUUUUUCCUCGGGACUAAUAAUUCAUUGGCCAAGCUAAAUGUCAGUCAUCUUUUCCUUCACUCUUUUUCUUCUCUUUCUGGUUCUUCCAUCAUGCCCUCCAAUUUUGGCUUGUUUAGGCAAGAUUAAUGCUCCUGACUACAGGACACUGUUUUCUCUUUGCACAAAUACUGUUCUGAGCAAGGAUCCUAUUUCUUUGGUGGCUUUGUUACAAUCCAGUAACACCUGGGUAUCUAUUUUCCUUACCGGAAAAAUAGCGCUGUCAAGGGAUUCAGUGUGAAACUCCAUACUUAAUGACUAAAGAAGAUAUUGAUUUGAAAUACCAUCUGUUCCAAAUCUGACAUUUUACAUACGAGGAACCUGAGAUCCCACCUGAGAUGGAACAACAGGCAGCUGCUUUGCACAUGAAGAACUUGCAUUUUGCAAGUUGCAGUGUUCUCCCUGCAGAAGAUAUCAAGCUGAUGUAUUAGUGUCUCCCACUCUUUACUCCAAUUUUCUUAUCAGGCAACCAUCAGGUCUAUCAUUGUUUCUUCAUUUGGAGACAGAACUGGAUUGUACCUCAUGCCCCGUACCUAAUCCAGCUCCUCUGUGAAGUCCCUGCCAGCUUCCCAAACCCGCAAAUACACACCGUACCAUGUGCCGGCCAGUCUUCUAAGUGCUUCAACAUAUCGACUGACUUAAUCACCACAAUAGCCCCAAGAGGCAGGCCCCAUUUGUAUCCCUAUGUUAUAGAUGAGGAACUUGAGAUACAGAGACGUUGAGUGCCUUGUCCGAGGUCACAAAGCUAAAAGGAGUUCAGGAGGUCAUUGACAUUCAAUUAAUGCUAUUUGAAUAAAUGAAAAUGUCCGUGGGGACUAGGUAGGUGCCUUCUAACGGAUGUGAGUGUGUUAAUAUGUGCUUUAAAUCAGAGGGAAGGAGUCUCUCUCUUUUUUAACCUUCUGGAAUCUUAUUGAGACUGCAGAUUCAGAAUUUGUUUACAACGAUUCAAAUGGAAUUUUAAUCUAAAGUUUACUUUGGCUUGGCAAGGUAUUUUCUGAGUCCUUCCUCUGAGAGAGUGUAAGUUCAUCAGUAAACAAGAACACAGGGAAAAUUUUAAACCACUUAAACAUACGCUUUGUAGUGUUAGCUUUUAUACACGUACAAUAUACUGGCACUAAUUCAUUUUUAUACAUUAAUCACAAUGAACAUUUCAGAACUGCAUCAGUCAGAGUUCAACUAGGGAAGCAGACGAGUGGAUGAUAAAUAUUAAGAGAUUUAUUGCAAGGAAUUGGGUUAUGGGAUUGCGGGGCCGGCUGGCUAAGGCUGAAAUCCAUCGGGCCAGCUGGGCAUUCUAGAGCGGGCUGAUGCGAGUGUCCCCAGCCAGCAUUUCUUCCUCGAGGAAGCCUCAGUUCUGCUCUGAAGGCCUUCCAAUGGACUGGAUCAGGCUCACCCCGAUUAACCAGGAUAAUCUCCCUUCACGAAAGUCAACUGAUUGUGGACUGGAUUCACAUCCACAAAACACCUAUAUAGCGAGAGCUGGAUGAGUGUUUGAUUGACUAAUGGGGGACUGCAGCCUCGCCAAGUUCGCACAUCCAAAGACCAUCACAAG
This is a long non-coding RNA of Equus caballus (horse), 2691 nucleotides long. The record is from Ensembl. Lineage: Eukaryota; Metazoa; Chordata; Mammalia; Perissodactyla; Equidae.